This 471-nucleotide ribosomal RNA is filed under the name uncultured bacterium. RNAcentral's name for it is "bacterial SSU rRNA". It matches the Rfam family "Bacterial small subunit ribosomal RNA", at positions 28 to 507 of the family's 1533-position model. The record is from RNAcentral.
GAUAAACGCUGGCGGCGCACAUAAGACAUGCAAGUCGAACGGACCUAAACUUUAGUUACUAUAGUAGAGGUUAGUGGCGGACUGGUGAGUAACACGUAAGCAACCUGCCUAUCAGAGGGGAACAACAGUUAGAAAUGACUGCUAAUACCGCAUAUGCCUAAGUACCACAUGGUACAAUAGGGAAAGGAGCAAUCCGCUGAUAGAUGGGCUUGCGUCUGAUUAGAUAGUUGGUGGGGUAACGGCCUACCAAGUCGACGAUCAGUAGCCGGACUGAGAGGUUGAACGGCCACAUUGGAACUGAGAUACGGUCCAGACUCCUACGGGAGGCAGCAGUGGGGAAUAUUGGGCAAUGGGCGAAAGCCUGACCCAGCGACGCCGCGUGAGGGAAGAAGGUUUUCGGAUUGUAAACCUCUGUUUUUAGUGAAGAAACAAAUGACGGUAGCUAAAGAGGAAGCCACGGCUAACUACGUG